CCCUUUGUGAACAUACCUAUAACUGUUGCUUCGGCGGGUAGGGUCUCCGUGACCCUCCCGGCCUCCCGCCCCCGGGCGGGUCGGCGCCCGCCGGAGGAUAACCAAACUCUGAUUUAACGACGUUUCUUCUGAGUGGUACAAGCAAAUAAUCAAAACUUUUAACAACGGAUCUCUUGGUUCUGGCAUCGAUGAAGAACGCAGCGAAAUGCGAUAAGUAAUGUGAAUUGCAGAAUUCAGUGAAUCAUCGAAUCUUUGAACGCACAUUGCGCCCGCCAGCAUUCUGGCGGGCAUGCCUGUUCGAGCGUCAUUUCAACCCUCAAGCUCUGCUUGGUGUUGGGGCCCUACAGCUGAUGUAGGCCCUCAAAGGUAGUGGCGGACCCUCCCGGAGCCUCCUUUGCGUAGUAACUUUACGUCUCGCACUGGGAUCCGGAGGGACUCUUGCCGUAAAACCCCCAAUUCUCCAAAGGUUGACCUCGGAUCAGGUAGGAAUACCCGCUGAACUUAAGCAUAUCAAA
RNAcentral lists this ribosomal RNA (515 nucleotides) under Colletotrichum asianum. Its description in RNAcentral is "eukaryotic LSU rRNA". The stretch from base 154 to 307 matches the Rfam family "5.8S ribosomal RNA". The record is from RNAcentral. Lineage: Eukaryota; Fungi; Ascomycota; Sordariomycetes; Glomerellales; Glomerellaceae.